UGCAAGUCGAACGCUUUGUGCUUAAUUGAUAUGACGAGCUUGCUCUGAUUUGAUUUUUUGAUUUCAAAGAGUGGCGAACGGGUGAGUAACACGUGGGUAACCUACCUCUUAGCAGGGGAUAACAUUUGGAAACAAGUGCUAAUACCGUAUAACAUCAACAACCGCAUGGUUGUUGAUUGAAAGAUGGUUCUGCUAUCACUAAGAGAUGGACCCGCGGUGCAUUAGCUAGUUGGUAAGGUAAUGGCUUACCAAGGCAAUGAUGCAUAGCCGAGUUGAGAGACUGAUCGGCCACAAUGGGACUGAGACACGGCCCAUACUCCUACGGGAGGCAGCAGUAGGGAAUCUUCCACAAUGGGCGCAAGCCUGAUGGAGCAACGCCGCGUGUGUGAUGAAGGGUUUCGGCUCGUAAAACACUGUUAUAAGAGAAGAACGGCACUGAGAGUAACUGUUCAGUGUGUGACGGUAUCUUACCAGAAAGGAACGGCUAAAUACGUGCCAGCAGCCGCGGUAAUACGUAUGUUCCAAGCGUUAUCCGGAUUUAUUGGGCGUAAAGCGAGCGCAGACGGUUAUUUAAGUCUGAAGUGAAAGCCCUCAGCUCAACUGAGGAAUUGCUUUGGAAACUGGAUGACUUGAGUGCAGUAGAGGAAAGUGGAACUCCAUGUGUAGCGGUGAAAUGCGUAGAUAUAUGGAAGAACACCAGUGGCGAAGGCGGCUUUCUGGACUGUAACUGACGUUGA
This 737-nucleotide ribosomal RNA is filed under the name Weissella hellenica. Its description in RNAcentral is "bacterial SSU rRNA". It matches the Rfam family "Bacterial small subunit ribosomal RNA", at positions 56 to 749 of the family's 1533-position model. Lineage: Bacteria; Bacillati; Bacillota; Bacilli; Lactobacillales; Lactobacillaceae. The record is from RNAcentral.